This 22-nucleotide microRNA is filed under the name Zea mays. RNAcentral's name for it is "zma-miR1432-3p". The record is from miRBase by way of RNAcentral. Lineage: Eukaryota; Viridiplantae; Streptophyta; Magnoliopsida; Poales; Poaceae.
GGGUGUCAUCUCGCCUGAAGCA